This 1477-nucleotide non-coding RNA is filed under the name Pongo abelii (Sumatran orangutan). Lineage: Eukaryota; Metazoa; Chordata; Mammalia; Primates; Hominidae. The record is from RNAcentral.
AUCGCGAGAUCAGGAGGGUGGCCGAGGGUGUCGCCGCGGCCAUCAGGCACUUCUCCUUCCUGCCAUCAUGUGAAGAAGGAUGUGUUUGCUUCCCCUUCUGCCAUGAUUGUAAGUUUCCUGAGGCCUCCUCAGCCCUGCGGAACUGGGGUUAUAGCCAUGUGACUAAUCUUUGUCCGAGAAUAUAUAAAGCAAAAGUGUUGAGUUGGCUUUUGGGGCUAGAGCAAUGUAUCUUAGGCUCACUUAAGGAAGCUGUAGAAAUGAGCCCAAGGAGGGAAACCAGAAGAGCCCCCCAGGCUCACCAGUUGUUUGUUGGCUCCCUACAAACAUGUCAUUCAAGUGGCUAAUCUUACAACAGCACAAAUGCAUCUAACCAGAAAGAGAAGAGGAGGCUCCAAAGGCACUUGACUACUGAGCAUCACCCUGGACGUGUACAAGUCUGCGUCCUUAUUGUUUUCUUCAUUGGGCCGAACUUUCUGGUCCUCAUCCAACAGCUCUUCUAUCACAUGUUCGAAAGUGUCAGCCAACGAUGUCAGGCCUCUUGAACCCGCCUUGGGCCCAUUCACGCUCUCCAGAGUCCCAUGGGUCCGCACACCUGGAGAUACUCUAUUAUAGCAAAGAAGAAAGAUAAUUUCAUUGAGCCAUCCUGUUUUACAGGAAAUUCUGCAAGUGGCAACGUGGGUCCAUUCCGUGUGUGUCACUAGAGCUGGCGCAAGGCCAUGGCCAUGGUGAGGCACUGUUUCCACUGGAACUAAUCUGAUACCUGCACCAGCUCUUGGAACUGCAAACUAUGGAUGGGGUAAAAGACUGCUCACCUCCCAUUUCUCAUCUCAUCUCACACACUCUGUUUGAUGAGGCUAUGGAGAAACAGGUCUUCUCAUACACUAAUGGUGGGAGUACAAACAAUUCAAGCCCUUUGCAGGACAAUUAGGCAAUACCUAUCAAAAUUAUACAUGAUUUUUCCUGCUGACCCAGCAAUUCCACUUCUGGGAAUAAAUUGACAGAUAUAGGUGCAUAUGUACAAAAUGAUGGAAAGCUCUCUGGUAUAUAUUAGUAAGUGAUAAAACAAGGUGUAAAAUAGUGUAUAUAUGGCUACUACCUUUUGUUUUAAAAAUGGGGGAAAAUGGCGGAGCUGGCGGUGAGCGGAGAUCGUGCCACUGCACUCCAACUUGGGCGACAGAGCGAGACUCUGUCUAAAAAAAAAAAAAAAAAAACAGGGUGGGGUGGGGGGGAAAUAAUAGUACAUAUUCAUAUUUACCUGUAUCUAUAUAUAUAAAACACACUAUCAAGUAUUCACAAGAAACUAAUACAAAUGAUCACCUUAUAGAUGGUAUGUAUUGGGGGAUACUGGGGUGAGCAGGGUAUAAGUGGGGCAAGACUUUUCAAUGUAAACUACUUUGAACUUUUAUUUUGAUUUUUGAAUAAUGUAAAUUAACUGUCAAAUAAUUAAAUUAAAAAUAACCAAUUUUUUAACAAAACA